UCUUGGUUUUCAUACCUUGUAACAGUUUGCCCCCCCCCUUGCAAACCACACGUAGAAAGGGAAUAAAAUCAGGAUGCUGGAGGACAGCUUUCAGAGUUACCCUCAGCCUGAGACCUCCAGCUUACAAGCCCCCCUUCCAUUGGGCCCUAUCCCAUGACAAACGUGUUGACAAGACAGGUAGUAUCACCUUUUCUGCCCUAGUUUACUCCCCCCCCCCCCCCACCCCCAGAAAACUGGUUAGUCAUAGGCUAAUACUGUUUGCUUAGAAUACACAAGACUAUGGAUCAUAUGUGCAGCAGCUUGCUCAGAGUGCAUUUAAUGAAUUGUCUGGUGCACCUGAUCUUUGUCAGUGAACUGUGUCAUAGCCAUGGUCUUCUCACUGGGCAAAAUAAAUCAGGGAACGGGAUGGGGCAAGCUCCUUGCUGCAGAAUCCAAAUUGCACAGAUGCUGAUGAAUGUUUUCUGUAGAGUAUCCCCAUGAGAUCAAGUUGCCGAUUUUACAGGCAGUGAGCAGAGGAUGAAAAAUACGUGAAAACACAAGUGCUUGCUAAUUUGGAUCCCCAGCUUGAGAUAGCUGGGAUUUGAGUUCUUCUAGAAUCCCUAACAUUUCAGUGGCUCCUCUGCCUGGGCAGAAAGCUUCAAUAUGCCAGUACUAGCCUCAUCCACACUGCUAUUUAGGGAUGGACCUUUGCUCUUUCCUUCUCUCUUCUGUUCCUCCGUAUCAUUUUGCAUGCCCUUGUCAGCUCCCAUGUUUUCUGGAUUAACCUUGAGAUAAGCUAAGAACCCUCCAAAAAAAGUGACUUCUGCUUUUAGCCUACAAGCCAGUGGUUCUUUCAAGCCAGUGCCAUCGCAGCACAGACUCCUCCCUGCGCCUCUCCUGCCUCUACUACAGCUCCUGUGGGCUCUGUGACUGAAAUAGCUAUGUUGUUCAGGCAUAAGUAAAAUACUGUUUAUUAUUCUACUCUGCUUAUACUUCAGUUCAUCUGUCCCAAAGCAACUGCAUGAGACAAUAACGUUGACAGAGUUCUGAGCAAUGUGAAUCAAGGUUUUACAGUCCAGUGUAAUAGAUUAAUGUAACUUCUUACCAGUUUCACCGUACUGGUGGAACAGCCACUGCAGCCCCAUGUCUUUUUAAUGACUUAAAUAUCAAAGGAACUGGAAGAGUCUCACAACUAAGAUUUUGGAGGAAGCUGAAGGAGUGAGUCACAAGCGGUCAUCUGGUCAGUUGGUAAGUGUUUCUCAGGCCUAUUUUUAAUCGUCUCCAAUGAUGAAGACCCAAAGCCUACUCCAAGAAAGCUGUUGUUUUAUUGCUUUGCUAUCCAGUGCCAGAAAACAUUUCCCUCAUGCUAACCUAAAAUUCAAUGGCUGUCAUGCUAGUGAUGCACUCUGGUGUUGAAACAUUUUUUGGUAAGCGUAUGACACCGCUGGGAUGCCUUUUGUUGUGAUCUUAUUCAGAACCGAUACUCAGCCUCAUUUUUUAUCCAUCAUGUGUUUCACUCAGACUACGGAGUAAAGCCUCACAUUCCUUGCUGAGUUUUGUCUUUCCUUUCACUGACAUUUUCUCCAAUCUGUUUUGACAAUUUUGAAUCAUUUUGCUAUGCUUCACCUGUUUGGAAAUAUAAUGCAAAUAUAAUAAGUGCUGUCCCCAUUCCAUCAUUGGAGAGAAUAUUAAAUCUUAUCAGGCCUGCAGUAGACCACUGUUGUCUUUCAUUCAGUGCAUCCUUCUGUAACACUGUUUUCUCACCAGCUUUGUACCGACUCUAUAUUAGGUUGCAAAUGCUUUUCCAUUAGCUUCCUUAUGAGAAAGUCACAAUAGAUAGAUGUGCAGGAAAUGCUUAAAUACUAUUUGCUCACUAAGUGGUAUUGUAAGGAGGUGGCUAAGUGCAGUAGGGGAACAAUAACCACCAGAGUACUUAGAGUUCAUGAAUUUCAGAUAUUUGACUCAUCCAGUUAGCCAAACAAGCAUUGCAUUUUUGGUCAUGAUGACUGUUCUUCUGCGAAGCAUAUGCCAUCUUUCCAUCUGAGUAUUUAAUUGCAUACUUAAAAAAUAUAUAUGUUCUGGCACCUUGGUCUUGUUCUUUGCUAGUGAGUAGCCUGUGUUUUUCUUGCAUUAGAAACAAACUAUUCUUAUGCAAGUGGAACAGGUUUUAUAACAACUCAGAUGUUUAAUUCACCAUUGGUGAAUCUAAUGACAGGCAGUGCCUUCAGUCAAUCAAUGCAAUUGGAAUUUCAGCUUUCCCUUUCAUUUAUUGACGUAUUAGAUUAAAAUAUGAAAUUCUACUGAUGUUAGCUGGGUGCUUUUUCCUUAUUAAAGCAGUAAAAUUAUGCAGAAGAACAGCAUUUUUUUUUUCCAUCUUCAAAAGCAUUCAUGGCAGCUAAGAACUGAGAGGGAAACCUUGGCUACCAUAAUACACAUUUAUCAUUUAUCUGCUCUCGUGGUUGUCCUCCACUGUUUAUGCUUUAAAAGAGAUAGAAAGCCUUCUAGCUAAUAUUUGUUUUUAUUGUAGCACUAAUAACCUUAAAUCCUGACCAGCAUGACGAGAAAUACACAGCAGCUUUGGAGAUAACUUGAUUUGCUUUGGUCUUCAUUGGUCAGUGCCUAUCAAAGCUAGGUUGAUGAAAGCUACUUCUUGAGCUCAGAGAAGUUCAUAGAGGAACACAGCAGUCCUAAGAUAGUGAGGAAUCCAUUGGCAGAGAGAUUGGAGCUGCAGAAGUGAGUUGUUGAGAUUCACUUGAUGUGUUCGAAGGAUAUUUUUCUGUAGAUUAACGUGGAAGAAGGAAAAGUAACCUCCCAGUUCCUGCCUGGUGAUAAGAAAAUAGGCCAUUCAUAGCUGACAAGCUCCCCUAUCCAGAACAACAAACAUGGCCAUUCUGUGGAAUUAAGUAUUUCAAGGUACAGCUCUUUGAAUCAUUCUGAAGAAUUUAAUCCAACAAACGUGCCCAGGUUUCUCUUCGUAAAUCAAUGCAUUCAGUGUGUCAUGCAGGAGCACUCAUUCAGGAGGAGUUCAGAGGUAUGGGAGCAGCUGGCAUUGACCUGGUAGACCAGGUGGGUGUACUGGCCACCACUGGUGGAAGCUGAGAUGUGCAUAACAGGUCGCUACGCCAAGCAUCCAGUUGCUUUCCAUCUGAGGCAGCACAGGAAAAUGCUGUGCUCUGUUUCUGUCGCCCUCUUCCCUAUUGCGAAGGUUGUUGCUUCACCCAUCCUUCAGCUGAGCAGCCAGGAAGAGCAGUCAGGUGUUGACUUUGGAGCCAUUGUCAGAACCUAGCCAGGGUCAGUUCCACCUAAAACGGAACGGCUGGUUUCACCUGGGUGAUCUGGAAGGAGCCCCUGUGUACCAAGUGACAGAAGCAUAUGCCCCAGGACCAUUCAGGACUGCCCAAAAGCAACCACUGCUGUGCCAACAACAGGCAGCUGCUGGGAAAAUGCCUGCUUCUGUCGAGGAAAAAAUCCGCCUGGGGCUCUUGGAGCCAUCAGCUGCCUAGAGCAGAGAAAACCCAGCUCCUCCCUGGGUUAGAGCAGCAGUACCUCCGAGCAGGAGAGGAUGAAGCAUCGCCAUGCAGUGACAAAGCAGAUUCUGCCUGACUGAGUAGCUGAUGGUGCCUGCAAGGACCUGGGCCAGAAGUGCACCCAAGGGUGCUUUGCAUGAGUCCUGGCCACCACUGCCAUCCCCUGAGAGGAGAUGCAACAGCACCUGCUGAGUGUGCAGCUGGCAGCUAAGGAGGUGGAGCAGCUGCUGUGCCUUGCUUUGUUCUGCCCAGACAGGAGCAGGCAGAGGGUAGGCUAUGUAUCAGAUGGACUUCCACAUCACCAUAGUUCUGGGAGGACUGAAAGACUGUGCUAGCACACCCCACCCUCUAUGCACAGGUGCAGAAUGAUGUGCUCUGGAUACAACUGGAGCCUGCAGGAGGUGCCUUGAAAGCUGACAGAGGUGACACGGGCAGGUAAAUAAAGGUGUGGACAUUUAUUUGAUUUUCCACCUUCCCUAAGACAGCGUGGGGUUCGGGGUUGAAUUAUGGGUGUAUCACAUAUCUUCAUCUUUCCGUGUGAUCUAAGCAGUUUAUGCACUCCAAUAGAAGACCACAAUGUAGUGUUAAUGUAACCCCUUUGAAUGCUACGUGGGAUGCAUUUCUUUGAUUUUUUUUUUUUUUCCCCCAGGACUUUUAUAUUUUGACUUAAGCAUUUUAAAACUUAGAGGAAAUAAAAGUCUUCUCUGACACUGAUGGACCAAAACUUAAAUACUGAGUAAGACUUGCUUUCUGGACCUGAAGUACUGUUUUCUAGAUCCAGGCACUGGAAUGCCAGAAUGAAAUCAAAUUGAAAACAUUAGUGGUGGAUUUGUGAUGAUGACCUCAGUAUGACAGGAAUGCACUGUGAGUUUUCUGGUUUGGAGAACAAAUGUUACUAAGAAGCCUUUUCUCUUAAAAAAAAAAAAACCUGUAAGCAUAAAACAUCAACUUAGGAAAUUCUCACGCUGUUAUUUAAUCAGAAGUAUAAAAAAACCCAAAACAAAUGCUAUUUUCGAGCAGUGAGGUUUUUGUUCUAAGCUACUGCCAAGAACAUAUUUUUGUCUGCUAAGUCAGGAUGCUGAUAUGGAACCUAUUAUUUUAGAUGAGCGUGUUAUUUCUGGAAAAAUUCAGCAGUUUCAGUCAAAGGAUUUUGUAUGUUUUUUCCUCAAAGAAAAACAAUGCAUUAGGUUUUUCUCUUUUCCCAGACAUGUCAAAGCUGGCAGAAGCAGCAUGAUACUUGAUGAAGUCAAUAAACUAGAAGACUACUUCCUUUUCUAACUUAAGUGCUUAAAACACACCUGGAGACAGAGAUUAUACCUGGAACAUACUGUAGGGUUGCCACUCAUGCUUUCGUAUUUCACAGAUGCAUUAUCAGGCUUUGCUUUAAAAUUUAUGGUCAGAAAUAUUUUCUCUCUUUCUCUCUCCCCCUUCCUUCCCCCCUUCCUUCCUCCGAGAUGGCAGAGAAUUCUGUGCUAGAUGUGGAGCUGGGUGAACUCCCUCUGGUGGUUAACUGCAAACCCAGAUUACUCAGCGAUCGCCACGUUCCUAGGUUGAUGAAGUAGCUUUCCUGGUGAAGAAAUACGUGUGUCAAAACUUGCCAUAAAAAUAAUUUCCCUGGAGUCUGCCUUCACGCUCCUUCAUAAAGUGGAUAUUGAAUUCAGUCACAGAAACCAUGGAGGUGUGCACCAGAAAAGCAUCAUAACAUCUUGUUAGGCAGAUAAAAUACGCUCCACGCGUUGUCCAUCCAGAAGGAUAAGGAAAACACCAAGGAACAAAGACAGAAGAAGUUGCUUGCAAUAUUGAAAAAUGGUAAUCUACUGGAUCAAAACUAUUGCAGACCUCUGGCUGGAGGCCCUAAAUAGUUUGCUGUGUUUAGGGAAAAGCAUUUCACUUCAUGGUUUUGAGUGAUUACUGUAAUUUGCAUUUUAGAAGGCACAUCUCCUUCCUAAUAAAGCUAUCUGAAACCACUGGGAUAUGGCUACUAGUUGCUAUCGCAUACAUCUGUCAUGACGAGGAGUCAAAAAGCCAUAUCAAAACCAGGCCAUUAUCUUUCUGGACUAUUAACAGAAGCAUUUUAUAUAAGAGUGGAAAAAUAGUUUUUGUUCGUUGGUUUGUUUUUACAUAGCUCAACGCUCAGGCCACAGAUCAAUCAUUUUAUGUCUUUAAUACACAGCAGUGUGUUUCUAAAGUGGCCUUCAUCGGUAUGGGGAGACAAUUGGGCCCCUUUCUUUUAGGUUGCAGGAUGGGACCUCUCACCUCUGGAUCUGUGCAGCUCCUGUAGGCUGACUCCCUUUGCUCAGUUUUAGACAGUAGCCGUAAGUGCACAAAAAGCACAGGAUUCAUUCACUGCAUCAAAGGUAUCUAUGUCUUAUGGAUAUGUGUAAACUAUUGAGAGGUGCAGAAUUUAACCCAUUUCUUCUUGCCUCACAGUCUUCCUGAAAAAGGUGACUAGUGCAUUAAGUUUGUAAAACCUGUUAUUUUUGGCAUCUGCUACCACUGGAUGGUACCAGGGAGUCUGGAUGUGUUGUUUUUUUCCUUCAUCCACACUUCACAUAUUUUUUCCAACUUUAUUUAUAUCUGAAAAAGAAGCCACGGGGGAAUUUUUAAAAGGGAAGCAUCCAACACAAACAAGCGUUCCAAUUCAUGUGUAGCAAGAUAGUAAUCCUAAAACACAAACCAAAACCACUGAGAUCAUUCUGUCACAAUAUAAAUCCUACAUAUAGUAUUUUCUUAAGAGUUCUUUGGGAAAAGAAAAGAAAAAAAAAAGAUCUUGUGUCUCACAUUUGUUCAACCUGAUCAGUUACUUUUGUCAGCUGUGUAUCUGCCUGUGAUAACUUCUUGCUUUAUCAUGGGAUUGUAGGAGGUGGAGCUGGAAUGGAUCUCAGGAAAUCUCUAGUUCAUCCCACUGCCUAACGCUCAUCUGUCUCCUAUCUGACAAAACACACAGAACCAUUUUUACAGCGUGAACUGUUUUUCUUCUUAUUCUGGUUUUUGGGAAAAAAAAAAAAAAAGGAAAAUGUUUAGAAAGAUGAAAAUUUCAUGGUAGAAAAAUUAGUAUUUCAGGCCUAAAUAAAAUCCGGUAAAAUAUGGUGAAGUGUCCUGCCCAUCUUUCAGUAUGUUGCUCUGUUUACUAUUUGUUUUUAUUUUCCUUUUCUUCCUUGUGCUGUUUUACACCUUUUCUUUCUUUCUUUCUAGAACUGUUCUCUUCUAGCUUCUGCAUUUCCUUUGCCCUUAUUUGCUCUGUUAUCUUCACAGAUGCUGCUACGAAGAGAACUGAAUGAAACACCCUUCUGUAGAAGAGCCAUCAGCAACACAGCUAAAGCAAAUGGAAAUGCAGUAAGCACAGAAACGAUGUUGGUAAUUGUUGAUAAUCAUCUCAAGACUUUUCUAAUUAAUUUCCCCCUACUUUGACUGCAUUUAUAUCGUGGUCUGGAUACAUCACAUAAUAACACAGUGAUCACUUCACAUUGCAUCCAAGCUGCUCUUUUCCACUCUCGUGCUCUGGCAACACCUUGCUUUUUCCUCUGAGCAUCACAUUUCCUUCUCCUGUCCAAAUCAACAUUCAACCUCUCUGUGAGAUAUUUUCCCCUCUCUCUUUCAGUCACUGCCAUCACAUCUGUACAGUUCUGCACCUUGUGCCAUCGCUGGCUGAAAGAAAUGACAGCGUGGUGGAAACCUUUGUUCCAGGUGUCCUGACAUUCCUUUCAGUGCUGUUCUGGAAGGAGACCUCAAGAUUAGCAGCUGGGUUUUGAAGAUCUAGAUUUAUACAUCAUGACCUACAAUGAAAUAAAAGGAAAUCACCAUGCUCAGUGGAGGAGCAUAAAACACUGGGUCAUUUGCGAGUCAUUAAACUUGGAUGUUUAUGUUUAAUUCUAUACCCUAUUUACAAAGAGAGAAAGAAUUAAAGCAACUGAGAAGCGUGUUGCAUUUCUCAGUGUCUAACAGCAAACAGAUUUGUUUUGCUUGGAAAUAGGGAAGAAGAGAGCGCUUCGAACAUGCAUAGUAACAUCCAGUUGUCUGGAUGAUACCCACCCAUUUCAGAGAGAACCUUGGGAAACCCCACAGAGUACUGAGGUCUAUCCAGGCAGCCUUUUUUUAAAUGUAGGCAAGAACGGUGAGCUUUGGUAACAAGUACUCCAAGAAUUACAAGUAAGAAAGCAUGGAGACAACAGAAAAACAGGAAUUGAAAGUAAUCUAAGUGAAGUGUGGUUGGGGCAUGAGUAGCGCACGUGUAGUAAGGUUUAGUUCAGUUCCUUGAAUCAAAGUACAGCAAGGCGAAUUACUUUAUUGUCCUCUCAUUGGACACCAUGGGAAAGCGGAUAGAGUGGGUGUAUUUUGUGUUACACAAAUAGUAACUAUCUCAAAGAAUUUGCUAACUGAUGCCCUAAAGGCUAAGAAGUAAAAUAUUACGUUGCUAUCCCCAGAGCAACAGCUGAGGUUAUGACUGUACAAGAAAAUAAAUCCACUGAAGUCCAAAAGUAAUGUAAUGUUUGGCUUUCAUGAGCUGAUUUUCCCCAGCCACAUUCUCACACCAGACCACGUUUAUUUCUCCAACUCUUUGAGUACAACAUUUGUUUGCAUGGCUUUAAGUGUUGCAAAACAGAGAAGGGACUCAGGAGGGACCUCUUGAUGAUGCUCUGCUACAUCCACCGUGUGGCAUUCCAGCUCAGUAGGAAAGGCAGAGGUUUCCUUGUGAUCCUAAUGGUAUUGAAACUUCGUUUUUUCUUGCAAGACCACUGCAAGGGAAAGGAAUCUGCUGCUGCUUAUUGUUUAACAGCAUCCUAACUGAGUAGGGGUAAAGGUUGUUAAAGGCUGAGCGCAUGCUCAUCUCACUUCUUAUCUUACCUGUUUUUGCUUUAUGUAACAUUAACCUUGACUCUUAGAACAUUCUGUAAGGUAUUUUUUAAUCAAAGAGAAUCCUAAAACCUAAAUUCUUCUUUAGUCACUGAUUAUAAAGGCACCGCAGAGCUGAAUGUCUUGCUUCUAUCUCAUUUUUAAGGAAAAAGGCUUGGACUGCAUAUUGCACUGUCAAACUCGUUGUCCCCAAACCAAGAGAAAAAGGCAAGCAAAUGCAAAUCAUAUUAAUGCACUGUGAAACAGAGAGAGGGAAGAGUUCAUUAACAAAUGAGGAAGAACUGCUCAGGCAAAAUGAAAUAGUUUGGUUAUUUCCUGGGAGAAUAAUAGCAAGCACUCUCUGAAUAUUAACUAGUAGAACUAAAGCACAAGUUUUACAGUCUAUGUGAAACAAGGGGAUGCUUGCCACUCGACUGCUGCUGGACCUGCUGAUGAGUACACUGACAGUGCUUUCUUAUUCUGAGCAGCAUGACUUUCUGCAGGUAAGCUCGUUAAGUAAAUAAAUUAUGUUUACACACACAGAAUAUGUAUUUCAUAAGAACAGAUCUUUGAACUCCCCUGUCUGUGUAAGCUACGCUGUGGAUUACAAAGAGGCAGCGCAUAAAUGGUUGCUUAUGGCACUUGGCAUGAGAGCAGCACAUUUGUCAUGUCCAUAGAUGGUCACCUGCCAAAAGUUGCCCACUACUUUUUAUCUGCUUAUGUGCCAAUAAUAUAUUAAUCCUGGUUGUCUACAGGUAAACGAAGUAUGCCAAGUUUCCAGGGAGUAUCCAAUGGACAUUGGGAAGCAUCCAAAAGGUUGUUAUGUUCCAUGCGUAUUCAUGCACCCUAGUCUGCAGAAUUAUGCUAUACCUGGUGAGGUUUGCUCUGAAAGAAAAUAACCUGUUGAAACUCAGUAAAUCCAUCUGUUGCCUUGAACUGCCCAGACACGUUUAAUAUGGGCAGAACGUUCCAGUAGUGGGAAUCUCUGAUACCUUAACGUGCUCCCAAAGAAAUACCUUAAAAAACAAGCCUCCAAAUUACUUUUCUGGCUGUCCAAGUUGUUGGUGUCAGGGUGCACCGGACAAGGACAAGUGCUAUGUCCAGCUGCUGCAGGAGGACUCCUGGUCACCCUUUCUGCCCUGGCAGGCACAGCCGAGGUCAGCAAGACAGAGUAAGACUGUGCACUAUCUGGCAAUCAGCAAGAUACUGGACUGUGUUCUGGACAGAUUUCACAGCAAGCAGUUGAGACAGGUCAGUAUAAACACCUGCGCUGCAUGUGAGCUGCUGACUUCUGAGGAGGAAUUUCUCCUAAUUGGUCUGUGCAAAGAAAGCUAAUAUAAGAGGGGGAGGAGGGGGGAAAGCAUGCAUUGGUUGGAGAGUGGAUAAGAACCUCCAUCUGACCCAAAACGCGUCUUGGCUGUGACAAAGAAAAGUGAAAUAAAUUGCAA
Long non-coding RNA from Gallus gallus (chicken), 9787 nucleotides. RefSeq lists it as uncharacterized. Lineage: Eukaryota; Metazoa; Chordata; Aves; Galliformes; Phasianidae. The record is from RefSeq and is a predicted model, not a curated record. The transcript has 4 exons.